UUGGAGGGCAAGUCUGGUGCCAGCAGCCGCGGUAAUUCCAGCUCCAAUAGCGUAUAUUAAAGUUGUUGCAGUUAAAAAGCUCGUAGUUGAAUUUCGGAAUCCAUCCGUCGGUCGGGCCUCACGGUCCGCACUGGUGUGAUGGAUUCCUACCUUCUGAAUAACCAGCAUGUCAUUAAUUUGGUGCGUUGGGGAAGCAGGACUGUUACCUUGAAAAAAUUAGAGUGCUUAAAGCAGGCUAGUGCCUGAAUACAUUAGCAUGGAAUAAUGAAAUAGGACGGCAUGGUUCUAUUUUGUUGGUUUCUAGGAUCACCGUAAUGAUUAAUAGGGGUAGUUGGGGGCAUUAGUAUUCAAUUGUCAGAGGUGAAAUUCUUGGAUUUAUUGAAGACUAACUUCUGCGAAAGCAUUUGCCAAGGAUGUUUUCAUUAAUCAAGAACGAAAGUUAGGGGAUCGAAGACGAUCAGAUACCGUCGUAGUCUUAACCAUAAACUAUGCCGACUAGGGAUCGGACGAUGUUAAUUUUUUAAUGACUCAUUCGGCGCCUUACGGGAAAC
This 551-nucleotide ribosomal RNA is filed under the name uncultured Glomeromycotina. RNAcentral describes it as "SSU rRNA". It matches the Rfam family "Eukaryotic small subunit ribosomal RNA", at positions 548 to 1098 of the family's 1831-position model. The record is from RNAcentral. Lineage: Eukaryota; Fungi; Glomeromycota.